AGUGAACGCUGGCGGUAUGCCUAACACAUGCAAGUCGAACGGCAGCACAGUAAGAUCUUGCUCUUACGGGUGGCGAGUGGCGGACGGGUGAGGAAUACAUCGGAAUCUACUUUUUCUUGGGUGAUAACGUAGGGAAACUUACGCUAAUACCUCAUACGACCUACGGGUGAAAGCAGUGGAUCUUCGGACCUUUCGCGAUUGAAUGAGCCGAUGUCGGAUUAGCUAGUUGGCGGGGUAAAGGCCCACCAAGGCGACGAUCCGUAGCUGGUCUGAGAGGAUGAUCAGCCACACUGGAACUGAGACACGGUCCAGACUCCUACGGGAGGCAGCAGUAGGGAAUAUUGGACAAUGGGCGAAAGCCUGAUGCAGCAAUACCGCGUGAGUGAAGAAGGCCUUCGGGUUGUAAAGCCCUUUUGUUGGGAAAGAAAAGAAGCAGGUUAAUACACCGAUGUUCUGACGGUACCUAAAGAAUAAGCACCGGCUAACUUCGUG
Molecule: ribosomal RNA, 492 nt
Filed under: uncultured bacterium
Lineage: Bacteria
Description: partial 16S ribosomal RNA
Rfam family: Bacterial small subunit ribosomal RNA
Source: RNAcentral